This 468-nucleotide ribosomal RNA is filed under the name uncultured bacterium. Its description in RNAcentral is "partial 16S ribosomal RNA". It matches the Rfam family "Bacterial small subunit ribosomal RNA", at positions 28 to 507 of the family's 1533-position model. The record is from RNAcentral.
GACGAACGCUGGCGGCGUGCUUAACACAUGCAAGUCGAACGGAAAGGCCCUGCUUUUGUGGGGUGCUCGUGUGGCGAACGGGUGAGUACCACGUGAGUCACCUGCCCUUGACUUUGGGAUAACUUCAGGAAACUGGGGCUACUACCGGCUAGGAGCUCCUGCUGCAUGGUGGGGGUUGGAAAGUUUCGGCGGUUGGGGAUGGUCUCGCGGCUUAUCAGCUGGUUGGUGGGGUAGUGGCUUACCAAGGCUUUGACGGGGAGCGGGCCUGAGGGGGUGACCGGCCACAUUGGGACUGAGAAGCGGCCCAGACUCCUACGGGAGGCAACGGGGGGGAUAAUGACACAAUGGGCGGAAGCCUGAGGCAGGAACGCCGCGUGCGGGAUAACGGCCUUCGGGUUGUAAACCGCUUUGGCCUGGGACGAAGCGUUUGUGACGGUAAUGGGAUAAGAAGCACCGGCUAACUACGUG